This 588-nucleotide ribosomal RNA is filed under the name Salmonella enterica subsp. enterica serovar Bovismorbificans. Its description in RNAcentral is "partial 23S ribosomal RNA". It matches the Rfam family "Bacterial large subunit ribosomal RNA", at positions 1 to 587 of the family's 2925-position model. Lineage: Bacteria; Pseudomonadati; Pseudomonadota; Gammaproteobacteria; Enterobacterales; Enterobacteriaceae. The record is from RNAcentral.
GGGUUGUGAGGUUAAGCGACUAAGCGUACACGGUGGAUGCCCUGGCAGUCAGAGGCGAUGAAGGGCGUGCUAAUCUGCGAUAAGCGCCGGUAAGGUGAUAUGAACCGUUAUAACCGGCGAUACCCGAAUGGGGAAACCCAGUGUGACUCGUCACACUAUCAUUAACUGAAUCCAUAGGUUAAUGAGGCGAACCGGGGGAACUGAAACAUCUAAGUACCCCGAGGAAAAGAAAUCAACCGAGAUUCCCCCAGUAGCGGCGAGCGAACGGGGAGGAGCCCAGAGCCUGAAUCAGCAUGUGUGUUAGUGGAAGCGUCUGGAAAGGCGCGCGAUACAGGGUGACAGCCCCGUACACAAAAGCGCAUGUGCUGUGAGCUCGAUGAGUAGGGCGGGACACGUGGUAUCCUGUCUGAAUAUGGGGGGACCAUCCUCCAAGGCUAAAUACUCCUGACUGACCGAUAGUGAACCAGUACCGUGAGGGAAAGGCGAAAAGAACCCCGGCGAGGGGAGUGAAAAAGAACCUGAAACCGUGUACGUACAAGCAGUGGGAGCCCCACCACUAAGCCAGUGGUGAACUCCACAUACGCAUCC